AAUCAUGGCUCAGGAUGAACGCUGGCGGCGUGCCUAAUACAUGCAAGUAGAACGCUGAAGGAAGGAGCUUGCUCUUUCCGGAUGAGUUGCGAACAGGUGAGUAACGCGUAGGUAACCUGCCUGGUAGCGGGGGAUAACUAUUGGAAACGAUAGCUAAUACCGCAUAACAGUAGAUAUUGCAUGAUAUCUGCUUGAAAGGGGCAAUUGCUCAACUACCAGAUGGACCUGCGUUG
Molecule: ribosomal RNA, 233 nt
Filed under: uncultured bacterium
Lineage: Bacteria
Description: partial 16S ribosomal RNA
Rfam family: Bacterial small subunit ribosomal RNA
Source: RNAcentral